ACGAACGCUGGCGGCGUGCUUAACACAUGCAAGUCGAACGAUGAAGCCUAGCUUGCUAGGUGGAUUAGUGGCGAACGGGUGAGUAAUACGUGAGUAACCUACCUUUAACUCUGGGAUAAGCCUGGGAAACUGGGUCUAAUACCGGAUACGACCAAUCUCCGCAUGGGGUGUUGGUGGAAAGCGUUAUGUAGUGGUUAUAGAUGGGCUCACGGCCUAUCAGCUUGUUGGUGAGGUAACGGCUCACCAAGGCGACGACGGGUAGCCGGCCUGAGAGGGUGACCGGCCACACUGGGACUGAGACACGGCCCAGACUCCUACGGGAGGCGGCAGUGGGGAAUAUUGCACAAUGGGCGCAAGCCUGAUGCAGCGACACCGCGUGAGGGAUGACGGCCUUCGGGUUGUAAACCUCUGUUAGCAGGGAAGAAGAGAAAUUGACGGUACCUGCAGAGAAAGCGCCGGCUAACUACGUGCCAGCGGCCGGGGUAAUACGUAGGGGGCGAGCGUUGUCCGGAAUUAUUGGGCGUAAAGAGGUUGUAGGCUUUUUGUCGCGUCUGCUGUGAAAGGCCGGGGCUUAACUCCGUGUAUUGCAGUGGGUACUGGCAGACUAGAGUGCAGUAUGAGAUACUGGAAUUCCUGGUGUAUGGUUGGAAUGCGCAGAUAUCAUGAAGAACACCGAUGCGGUGCGCUGUUCUCUGUUCGGGUCUGAUGCUCGGUGCGCAUUCGUGCGAGCGAACGGAUUAAUACCCCUGUUAUGCCUGGCAUUUCCGCUGUUGAUGCUGGUUGUGGUGUGCCGGUGACGUUGUGGGGGUGGUGCUGUGCCCCUUCUUUUGUGCCUGUGUUGGUGGGUAAUAUGG
Molecule: ribosomal RNA, 854 nt
Filed under: uncultured bacterium
Lineage: Bacteria
Description: bacterial SSU rRNA
Rfam family: Bacterial small subunit ribosomal RNA
Source: RNAcentral